UAGUUUUUGGACGACAGGGGCACC
RNAcentral lists this microRNA (24 nucleotides) under Solanum tuberosum (potato). Its description in RNAcentral is "stu-miR8006-5p". Lineage: Eukaryota; Viridiplantae; Streptophyta; Magnoliopsida; Solanales; Solanaceae. The record is from miRBase by way of RNAcentral.